Molecule: long non-coding RNA, 1523 nt
Organism: Oxyura jamaicensis (ruddy duck)
Lineage: Eukaryota; Metazoa; Chordata; Aves; Anseriformes; Anatidae
Exons: 3
Source: RefSeq, a predicted model, not a curated record
UGCACAGCUCUCUGCAUAGAAUCCAUGUGGUGCUGCCCUCAGGGUCCUCUCUGGGGUCUGGGUCAGCUCUUUGGGGGUUGUGGCAGGGUUUGUCCCAUCUCCCUGCCCGCCUCACAGAAAUGACCUCUCUGUGCACUGAUGACCAGAAGUCCUCCAUCCCUCUGACCUCAUCUCAAUCAAAUCACCGGCGUAGGGGCCAGAGGCAACACGUGCUUUCCGUUUGGGACCAGACCUAGACUCUCCUCAGGCCCCCUGGUGCCAUUGCCCCAUUUCUUCCCUUUCUCUGCAAGUCUCCCAAACCCACUAAAAGCAUCUCCACCCACCCCCACACAGACACCCCCUGCUUCUGGGCCCCUUCUCUGUCCUAUGUGGCUGUUCCUGACAAACUCUCACCCCAUGCCGUGCUGAAUGCAGUGCCCUCUGUAACAGCACAGCAGAAAGCACAUGGCCUGGAUGGUUGGGGAGGCAGGUUUGGAGCAGAUUCAUUAAUCAAUGUUUUGUUUAAGAGUUACACUCUGAAUCCAGGCAAAUCAGUAAGCGAUCUGUUCCUGCUGAUUGUUGCUUGUUCCUCCUGAUUGUUGUUUGUCUCUCCUAUUAGAAAAUCAUUUGAAUGUGAAAUCAUUAGACCCCAUGGCUUGCUUUUCUCAGCAAGUGCACAGAAAGUUGUUCUUAUUUGCUUUCCUGGGUAAAGUAUAGUUCCCCCAAAGGCUCUUGACACCUCCCUUCAGUCAUGCAACUCUUCCACAGAAAGUGGAAGUGGCUGUUUUUGUCCACUGCUUCUUCUACGCGUCACUGGACGUGUCCCUGUAAUAAACCACAUCUUAAGAAAAUCCCCUCAAUCCUGAGAAGUGGCUUCUUAGAAAACCCAAAAUGUUUGGAAAAGUGGUUCAAGUAGGUGGCAUGCACAGGAUAAAUUGCAGCGCAGGGAGACCCCAGGCCACAGACGCUGUGCAGGACAGCACAAAGCAGCACAGAGGAAGAGCCCUCGCACAGCCACCAUGCUCAGCACAAGACCAGUCCUGCUGCUCCUGCUGCUCCUCACCUUCUCCCAGCACUGCGCCACAGCACUCCCCACACCUACCGAAUGCUGCUUCCAUUAUGCACAGAAAACCGUUCGGCUUUCAAAUAUGUGGAGUUUCUAUGAGACACCCAAAGACUGCGCCCUACCUGCAGUAGUGAUUGUGACUGCUUCUGGUUUCAAGGUCUGUACUGACCCUCAGAAGCCCUGGGUGAAGAAAGCGAUAAAUAAGCUUCCAAGAAAAAAAUGAAAUCCACGUUUUGCCACCCACAGUCUGACUCGCACCUCCAGCCCUCCCGUCUCCAAAUGGAGCAGAGAGCGCUCAGUGCAGUUCUCCGGAAGGCUGCACGGCAGCGGGCGCAGGCACUGCGCAUGGAGCCAGCCUGCGCCCCAAGGGAGGCCGGGCUUCGCAGCGGCAUGGCCCGGCUGGACACCGCACACCUCACACUGUUACUGCCCUGCCAGGACGUGCCCAGGGGAGGAAGCAGUAAUAAUAAAGACUCAU